AAUCAAGCCUCCCACAAAGUAAGAUGUAUAAUUAGUUUUCGCAUAACAGGUCACAACAAAAAAGCGUGCGUGAGCAUGCUAAGGAGUACUUAAAACGGUUGUCAAAAGACCAAAUUCAUCGUCUAUAGAGAUGCAUAAAUCAGAUGUUGAUGUAAGUGAGCACGUGGAUACUCAAAGCCAGAGUGGAGCCAACAUGGGAGUUUUUACAUGGAAAUAUUUUAUAUGAAUUUUAUGAAUUAUUUUUGUAAUCAGUACUAUGAAUCAUUUUAUAUUUG
This is a long non-coding RNA of Vigna unguiculata (cowpea), 275 nucleotides long. The record is from RefSeq and is a predicted model, not a curated record. Lineage: Eukaryota; Viridiplantae; Streptophyta; Magnoliopsida; Fabales; Fabaceae.